UCCCCUUCCCAAUAAUUUUAAAAUUAAUUUCAUCGAUAAUUGAGCCACCCCAAAGCAGCAGAAUCUCCAAAAACAUCAAAAUAUUGUUGAAUUCAAAACAAUUUCAUACAAAAUAAACAUCAAUGAGCCGUAAAAUUACGAUACUGCUUAAUGAUUAAUUAUCUUCCAUCAUUAUCUCACAUCAUAAUCGAUAUUCUCACCCUCCACCCCCCCCCCCUUCCCCCCUCGUAAAUUCCCCCAGGCAACUCUCCACAGCCCUGACCUUCUCUCUAGCGAUAAAAAAAAAUUGAUAAACUGUUUUAAUUAAUUAAUCGACUAAUAAAUAUUAUUCAUCAGAUAUGUUGCAGUAUGAUGAUGACAUCCAGUGGAUGCCCCGCAUCAUAAACAUCCGGAGUGUCAAGCCAGGACCAUCAAGACUGAAGUGCAAACAAUGUGGAAGACAAUUUACAUCGGUCUUCAACCUACGAAGACACAUAGAAUUGACUGUUCAAUGUGGAAAUGGUGGUGAGAGAACGGAAUGUACAAUUUGUAAAAAAAAAUUACGCCCCGAUUACAUCGCCAAUCACAUGCUGACUGUCCACAUGAAGCACAAGAAGAGUAAGAAGAGACGACAAGUGAAUCCAGGGUCGAUCAAUCGUUCGUUCCUUCGUAAACCGAAGGAGGAGAAGAAUUAAGUGCCUGUUCAGAUUUAUUUUCUACGAAUAUUCUGAACGAUGAUGAGGUAUUAAUUAAGAAUAAAACAGCUGAUUUUGCUACGGAAAUAUAAUCGAGAGAUGAAAUUGUAUUUUAUAUAUUUUUUUUUCAUUCGCAAUUGUCGCGAUGGCUUUUGGAUUUUUAAGGGAAAUAAAGAGAUUUAUUCAUUAAUUAUUA
Diachasmimorpha longicaudata is the source of this 870-nucleotide long non-coding RNA. RefSeq lists it as uncharacterized. Lineage: Eukaryota; Metazoa; Arthropoda; Insecta; Hymenoptera; Braconidae. The record is from RefSeq and is a predicted model, not a curated record. The transcript has 2 exons.